RNAcentral lists this ribosomal RNA (452 nucleotides) under uncultured bacterium. Its description in RNAcentral is "partial 16S ribosomal RNA". It matches the Rfam family "Bacterial small subunit ribosomal RNA", at positions 28 to 507 of the family's 1533-position model. The record is from RNAcentral.
GAUGAACGCUGGUGGCGUGCCUAACACAUGCAAGUCGAGCGAUUCUCUUCGGCGAAGAUCGGCGGACGGGUGAGUAACGCGUUGGUAACCUGCCCUGUACCCACCGAUAACAUACCGAAUGGUUUGAUAAUACGAGGUAACAUGCCUUUAACGAACUGCAGAUGCAUCAAAGGUGUUGCGGUACAGGAUGGACCCGCGUCUGAUUAGCUAGUUGGUAGGGUAACGGCACACUAAGGCGAGGACCAGUAUCCGACCGGGGAGGGUGAUCGGCCACAUAGGAACUAAGGCACGGUCCAAACUCCUACGGGAGGGAGCAGUGGAGAAUAUUACACAAUGGGGGAUAACCUGAUGAAGCAGCGCCCGGUAAGCGAUGAAGGGCGUCGGGUCGUAAAGCUCUGUCCUCAAGGAAGAUAGUGACGGUACUUGAGGAGGAAGCCCCGGCUAACUACGUG